UACGGAGGAUGCGAGCGUUAUCCGGAUUUAUUGGGUUUAAAGGGUGCGCAGGCGGGAAAGCAAGUCAGAUGUGAAAACUCAGGGCUCAACCCUGAGCCUGCAUUUGAAACUGUUUUUCUUGAGUGCUGGAGAGGCAAUCGGAAUUCCGUGUGUAGCGGUGAAAUGCGUAGAUAUACGGAGGAACACCAGUGGCGAAGGCGGAUUGCUGGACAGUAACUGACGCUGAGGCGCGAAAGCGUGGGGAGCAAACAGG
RNAcentral lists this ribosomal RNA (253 nucleotides) under uncultured Oscillospira sp. Its description in RNAcentral is "partial 16S ribosomal RNA". It matches the Rfam family "Bacterial small subunit ribosomal RNA", at positions 524 to 776 of the family's 1533-position model. The record is from RNAcentral. Lineage: Bacteria; Bacillati; Bacillota; Clostridia; Eubacteriales; Oscillospiraceae.